GGAAGUAUGGCUCAAGUGGUACAGCACCUGCCUAGCAAACAUGAACCCUGAGUUCAAGUCUCAAUAUCACCA
This 72-nucleotide transfer RNA is filed under the name Dipodomys ordii (Ord's kangaroo rat). It matches the Rfam family "tRNA". From Rfam's summary of the family: Transfer RNA (tRNA) molecules are approximately 80 nucleotides in length. Their secondary structure includes four short double-helical elements and three loops (D, anti-codon, and T loops). The record is from Rfam by way of RNAcentral. Lineage: Eukaryota; Metazoa; Chordata; Mammalia; Rodentia; Heteromyidae.